GGACUACACGGGUAUCUAAUCCCGUUUGCUCCCCUGGCUUUCGCGCCUCAGCGUCAGAAGAGGCCCAGCGCGCCGCUUUCGCCACCGGCGUUCCUUCCGAUAUCUACGCAUUUCACCGCUCCACCGGAAGUUCCGCACGCCCCUGCCUCCCUCGAGGCCGGCAGUAUCCCAGGCACUUCCCCCGUUGAGCGGGGGGAUUUCACCCCAGACUGGCCGGCCCGCCUACGCGCCCUUUAAGCCCAGUGAUUCCGAACAACGUUCGCACGGUUCGUCUUACCGCGGCGGCUGGCAC
Molecule: ribosomal RNA, 292 nt
Filed under: uncultured bacterium
Lineage: Bacteria
Also listed under: 2 other names
Description: partial 16S ribosomal RNA
Source: RNAcentral